This 511-nucleotide ribosomal RNA is filed under the name uncultured bacterium. RNAcentral describes it as "bacterial SSU rRNA". It matches the Rfam family "Bacterial small subunit ribosomal RNA", at positions 29 to 517 of the family's 1533-position model. The record is from RNAcentral.
AGCGAACGUUAGCGGCGGGCCUAACACAUGCAAGUCGAACGCGAAAGGUCUUCGGACUGAGUAGAGUGGCGCACGGGUGAGUAACACGUAGGUAAUCUACCCUUUGGCGGGGGAUAACGUUCCGAAAGGAGCGCUAAUACCGCAUAAGACCACGGAGUCUCCGGACGCUGUGGGAAAAGGUGGCCUCUUCUUGAAAGCUACUACCGAAGGAUGAGCCUGCGUCCCAUCAGCUAGUUGGUAAGGUAAUGGCUUACCAAGGCGAAGACGGGUAGCUGGUUUGAGAGAAUGAUCAGCCACACUGGCACUGGAACACGGGCCAGACUCCUACGGGAGGCAGCAGUGAGGAAUAUUGGGCAAUGGGCGAAAGCCUGACCCAGCCACGCCGCGUGAGUGAUGAAGGCCCUCGGGUCGUAAAGCUCUGUGGAGAGGGACGAAAACCCUGGUUUCAAAUAGGCUCCAGGCUUGACGGUACCUCUUUAGCAAGCACCGGCUAACUCUGUGCCAGCAGCCG